Long non-coding RNA from Pogoniulus pusillus (Red-fronted tinkerbird), 320 nucleotides. RefSeq lists it as uncharacterized. Lineage: Eukaryota; Metazoa; Chordata; Aves; Piciformes; Lybiidae. The transcript has 2 exons. The record is from RefSeq and is a predicted model, not a curated record.
GUUUGUAGAGGAGAUAAAGUGAAAGCACAAGUAAUGCAGAUCACCUUGUCAGCCUCUAGUGGAAAGAAUGCAGUGGGAUAAGGAUAAAUUUAACACUGAGGCAGGAAACAGACGUUACUGGUAUUUCAGGAAUCAAAAGAGAACUUCAGCUGUGAUAGAAACGGAGCAAGAACAUCUCCAGGAUCACUCAGUGCUGGAAGGGAAAGCAUCAUGUUAUUACAAACUGAAUGCAGCACAUUCGUGCUGUGGGGCUAGACAACAUUCUCAGACUCUGAUGUGAGUGAAGAUGCUUAAAUCUAAAUAAAAGCAGUAUUUAGAUA